RNAcentral lists this ribosomal RNA (513 nucleotides) under Thalassograpsus harpax. RNAcentral's name for it is "partial 12S ribosomal RNA". The record is from RNAcentral. Lineage: Eukaryota; Metazoa; Arthropoda; Malacostraca; Decapoda; Varunidae.
UGGUAAAAUUUAAAUUAUUUAUAAAUAAUAAAAGGUAAAAUUAAAAUAUUAUUUUGUACAAUAAAAAAUAUUAAUUGAAGCUGAAAAAGUUUAGUAAUAAACUAGGAUUAGAUACCCUAUUAUUCUAAAUUGAACAUAAAUAAACUUAAUUAGUAAAAGAUAUAUACUUUAAAUUUAAAAAAUUUGGCGGCAAUUUAAUCUUUCCAGAGGAACCUGUUUUAAAAUCGAUAAACCACGAAAUAUCUUACUUGUUUUUGUAAAUUUUAUCAGUUUGUAUACCAUCAUUAUCAGGUAAUUUUUAAAGAAAAAAUUACUAAAUUUAAUUAUUUAGGAAAAUUAGAUCAUGGUGCAGUUUAUAAACAAGGUAAAAUGGGUUACAAUAAAUUACUUUAUUGCGGAUUAAUAAUAUAAUUUUAUUAUGAAGAAGGAUUUGGUUGUAUUUUUAGUUUAAUAAGCUAAUAAGAUAUAAGCUCUAAGUUGUGUACAUAUCGCCCGUCGCUUUCAUCUAUAAAU